This is a long non-coding RNA of Gorilla gorilla gorilla (western lowland gorilla), 272 nucleotides long. RefSeq lists it as uncharacterized. The transcript has 3 exons. The record is from RefSeq and is a predicted model, not a curated record. Lineage: Eukaryota; Metazoa; Chordata; Mammalia; Primates; Hominidae.
GGCGAGCGGAUCACCAGGUCAGGAGAUGGAGACCAUCCUGGCUAACACGGCUCCUGUACCAAAAUACCACAAACUAUGUGAUGAUAAACAACAGUAAUUUGUUUCUUACAAUUCUGAAGGCUGGAAUGUCCAAGAUCAUGGUGCCAGCAGAUUCAGUGUCUGGAGGACCCUCAUGAUUAUAUUUGGGACCCACCUGAAUAAUCCAGGAAUAUCUCCUCGACAUCAACAUUCUUAAUUUAAUCCCACUGACAAGAUCUCUUUUGCCAUAUAAG